UACGGGGGGGGCAAGCGUUGUUCGGAAUUAUUGGGCGUAAAGUGCUCGUAGGCGGCCAACUAAGUCAGACGUGAAAUCCCCAGGCUCAACCUGGGAACUGCGUCUGAUACUGGAUGGCUUGAAUCCGGGAGAGGGAUGCAGAAUUCCAGGUGUAGCGGUGAAAUGCGUAGAUAUCUGGAGGAAUACCGGUGGCGAAGGCGGCAUCCUGGACCGGCAUUGACGCUGAGGAGCGAAAGCCAGGGGAGCAAACGGG
Molecule: ribosomal RNA, 253 nt
Filed under: uncultured bacterium
Lineage: Bacteria
Description: partial 16S ribosomal RNA
Rfam family: Bacterial small subunit ribosomal RNA
Source: RNAcentral